Long non-coding RNA from Daphnia magna, 1025 nucleotides. RefSeq lists it as uncharacterized. Lineage: Eukaryota; Metazoa; Arthropoda; Branchiopoda; Diplostraca; Daphniidae. The transcript has 2 exons. The record is from RefSeq and is a predicted model, not a curated record.
AACUGGGCAUUGAUGGCAAGUUAUUUUUUUUUAAAUUUGUACUUCAAAUAUAGGAACCAUCUUUCUUUCGGCGGAUUAUUCUCAGUUGGAACUUCGAAUAUUGACGCAUUUGAGCGAAGACGCAGGUCUUUGUUCUGUUCUUAGCCAACCCGAUGGCGAUGUUUUCCGCGGCAUUGUAUCGGUUUGGAAAAAGAAAAAGCAAGAAGAAGUCAGAGACGAUGAAAGGCAAAAAGCGAAACAAAUCUGCUACGGGAUUGUUUACGGCAUGGGAUGUAAAUGUUUAGCCGAACAGUUGGAAGUCGGGGAAGAAGAGGCUCAACUCUUUGUUAAGACUUUCCACGCAACGUAUCCUAGUAUACAAAGCUUUAUAACAAACACAGUUAACCAGUGCCUCAAGAAUGGAUUUGAUGAUGUUGAUGCCUAAUUUUCUUGACAGGUCAACCGAUGUGGAAAAAAAUUCAGGAGGAAAAUGAAUUGAGCUGCUGACAUUGGCCUAUUUCUGGAAUACAUCAGUUUGCAUCAUAAUCAGAAAGGUAAUAUUGCCUCUUUUAAUUCCUUAUCCAGUUGUAGCUAUGACUUGAGUCUGCGAAGAUAAAUUUCUUAGCUUUAUUUGAAAUUUGAGGCUGUGAUAACUUUUUGAAAUCGACAAGAUAUUUCUAAACUAAAGCUACUACACCGAGGCUCCAGCUUACUACACAACUACCUAUGCAACCCCAUCCUGCUACACUGAUGCUCCCAAGUACUAUUAAUCGUGAAAAUUGCGCUGUCCAAAGCUCGAUGAUGGAAUAUUCAGAUUUGAUUUUAUCAUUUACAGUCCUCGUUCCAAAAUAAGUAUUUCCAUUUAUGCCUUCACUAGUCGUUUUCCAUACGAAUGUUUCCAAAUGAAUUGUUGAAUACAGAUAUAAUGCCGUUAACAAAUCCCCUCGUUCUUUUUAUUUUGUAUCAAAUAAAGCUAAUGAAAGCGAUUUGUUUCCCUACAACAUUGUAAUUGCUGAACGCAUUUAUACACUAGAACAUUAGCGAGA